UCCUAGGUCAAUUGUUCUAAACUUCUGGCAGGCGGCGGCCGGCAUGGAAUUUGGCCGGAAGUGCGGUCCGUCAUGCUCGUCGUUUUGUGCCAUUCCUUUGACGGAGUAACUGAAAUUUGAGUGGAAUAACCAAGCUUAUGAUGGCAGUUAGGGUUUCCAGUAGUGAACAUGGACAAACCUUGGAGAAGUUAAUUCAAAUGACCAAAUUACGUCAGUAAAGUGUGAAAUUCGCCUUUUUUUGGAGGCGGAGAGGUGCGGCCGGUUGCGGCGGCGAGGAGGUUGCGAGAGAAUGCAAUUAAAGACUUCUCAUAUAUGAUGAAUUUCACAUCAGUUUUCGAGUCGAAAAUGAAGACAAACUCACCGAUAAAGUCGGAGCCAUCAAAUUGUCACCAUGGGGUAGGUGGGGGCCACGGGCAAUGUCCCCCGCAGAAGAAGAGUCAAAUUAAGGCGUGAUGAAUGAGCUCGUGAGGAUUUCAUGUCACAUUUAGUUUAGAGGUCUUUUUUAAGGGUAUUGAUUAGUUCAUAGAGGUAUGAUGUGUUGUGUGGGAUGCUCUGCUAUUGUCAAAGCAUUUUAGAGAUAUAAUUAUUGAUUAAUUGUUUUUUAAGAUAAGAUUUGUGCAAUUAUUUGUAUUGCAUUUAGUUUUGUUGUAAUUUAAUUUUUUGCUAGUGUGACUUGGGGGUUCUCUUUGGGAGUAGUUUUGAGAGUGAGUAGAUGACAUGUAGUUUUGAAAUA
Long non-coding RNA from Phalaenopsis equestris, 733 nucleotides. RefSeq lists it as uncharacterized. The transcript has 3 exons. Lineage: Eukaryota; Viridiplantae; Streptophyta; Magnoliopsida; Asparagales; Orchidaceae. The record is from RefSeq and is a predicted model, not a curated record.